Molecule: ribosomal RNA, 497 nt
Filed under: uncultured bacterium
Lineage: Bacteria
Description: partial 16S ribosomal RNA
Rfam family: Bacterial small subunit ribosomal RNA
Source: RNAcentral
GACGAACGCUGGCGGCGUGCCUAAUACAUGCAAGUUGAGCGCUGAAGGUUGGUACUUGUACCAACUGGAUGAGCAGCGAACGGGUGAGUAACGCGUGGGGAAUCUGCCUUUGAGCGGGGGACAACAUUUGGAAACGAAUGCUAAUACCGCAUAAAAACUUUAAACACAAGUUUUAAGUGUGAAAGAUGCAAUUGCAUCACUCAAAGAUGAUCCCGCGUUGUAUUAGCUAGUUGGUGAGGUAAAGGCGCACCAAGGCGAUGAUACAUAGCCGACCUGAGAGGGUGAUCGGCCACAUUGGGACUGAGACACGGCCCAAACUCCUACGGGAGGCAGCAGUAGGGCAUCUUCGGCAAUGGACGAAAGUCUGACCGAGCAACGCCGCGUGAGUGAAGAAGGUUUUCGGAUCGUAAAACUCUGUUGGUAGAGAAGAACGUUGGUGAGAGUGGAAAGCUCAUCAAGUGACGGUAACUACCCAGAAAGGGACGGCUAACUACGUG